AACCUGCCCUUGACUCUGGGAUAAGCACUGGAAACGGUGUCUAAUACCGGAUACGAACUUCAGCCGCAUGGCUAGGAGUUGGAAAGAAUUUCGGUCAAGGAUGGACUCGCGGCCUAUCAGCUAGUUGGUGAGGUAAUGGCCCACCAAGGCGACGACGGGUAGCCGGCCUGAGAGGGUGACCGGCCACACUGGGACUGAGACACGGCCCAGACUCCUACGGGAGGCAGCAGUGGGGAAUAUUGCACAAUGGGCGCAAGCCUGAUGCAGCAACGCCGCGUGAGG
This 282-nucleotide ribosomal RNA is filed under the name uncultured bacterium. RNAcentral describes it as "partial 16S ribosomal RNA". It matches the Rfam family "Bacterial small subunit ribosomal RNA", at positions 123 to 406 of the family's 1533-position model. The record is from RNAcentral.